Molecule: small nucleolar RNA, 103 nt
Filed under: Echinops telfairi (small Madagascar hedgehog)
Lineage: Eukaryota; Metazoa; Chordata; Mammalia; Afrosoricida; Tenrecidae
Description: Small nucleolar RNA U109 (ENSETEG00000025826.1)
Rfam family: Small nucleolar RNA U109
Source: RNAcentral
AUGAUUCCAAGAUCCUGGGUUGCUCCUUCGGGACGAUAUCCAUAAUAUGCUACAUUAAUAAAGGAGCUCUCAGGUUGAGGAGCAGUAUAUUUCUCUUACACAA